Molecule: long non-coding RNA, 1514 nt
Organism: Bacillus rossius redtenbacheri
Lineage: Eukaryota; Metazoa; Arthropoda; Insecta; Phasmatodea; Bacillidae
Exons: 3
Source: RefSeq, a predicted model, not a curated record
CACCGAACGAGAUAGCGAACGGGUUCGCCAGUGGUCUCUGCGCAGUCCGCCAUGCACCCCGCCUACAUCGUCAAGUCGGACAGAGACAGGGGCAGCAGCGACUGCCUGCUGGCGGACUCUGGCGCUGAUGGCGCUGUCGAGCGAACGGUACUGAUUCCCAAAGUACGACCGAGGUGGCCAUCUUGUGUGGGAUGUGUUCGAGUCACUUGCUUGUCGUUUCUGGUGCUGUCCGUGAUCGCGGUGCUCGUGUGGGUCAUAGUUAGCGAAGCGAUACGCACUUCCUGAUGCAUAUGUGUUCGAAGACAAACCAGAUCAAGCAAAAGCUUCAGAACAUAUUUCAUCACUAAAGAUGAUGUGCCCUUUGCUGGACCAAGUAUUAUUCUCUUUGCAGGUUCAAGACUUGAAGUUAGAUAGACAGCAUUUAAAUUAGUUUUAUCCAUAUUAAUUUAUAACUGAGACGUCUAGAAAAAUGUCUCAUUGGUUUCCAUUUAAUAUACGUUCAGUUUAUGCAUAAUUACAAACAUACUAUAACUCCGUGGAAAAUUGAUUACGGAGUACUAAAUAUUUUCAGCAAGUUACAGACUUAGAUGAUAUGUAAAGUAUAACUAGUAAACACCUAAUUAUUUGCUCUAAUUAAGGAGACAAUGCCACAAAUUACAGGACUUUUACACUGAACUAACAUAACUCAAAUACUAAACAUGAAGCAAAUAUGAUCAGUUGUCUUAAACAUAGACAAAAUAUGCCUAAGCUGGGCAAUAAAAUUUUUAGAGUCCAUCAUUGUAUGGCUUGUUUGCCAAUAGAAAUGUCAGAAAAAUGUGCAGUGGCCAAUGGCAAUUAGUGCAUUGUGAGGCUAUAAAAUAUGUCACUUCAUACGUCCAAAUUUUAAUACAUGAAGUGUCAAAAUAUUAAAAGUGCAUUUAAAUACACCAUGUUAAAAAAUUAUACAUGUUAAAAUUUAAAGUGAUCUUUGUAUGAUUAAACAAAUAAUGAAUAAUAGUUUUUGCAUUUAUGAAUUCAGUUUUUAUUUAGGAAGUUGGAGCAGAAGAGAGAAUGUUAUUAAAAUAAUUAUUUGGGAAAAAAUUCAUAUAGAUGUAACACAUUUUUCUGGUAGAAAUCAGUGAAUGAUCCAGAUGCUUUAAAUGGAAAAAUUUUAGUGUGUGUAGUUAAAUUCUUUGGUUUGCAGGAACUAAUGGCAGUGUUUUCUGCACUUGUUAAAUGAGUUUUAAAGAAUGAAUUAUUGAUAGUUGAUAAUGAAAAAUUUAGUGCAUCUGCAUUAAAAAAACAGAACCCAUAUAAAUUACUUUCAUUUCUUAACUGUUGGCAUCACUGGUUAUCUUCCAUUAUCAUAAUGCAUAGCAAUGUAACUCACAGAAUGUUUAUUUUAAUCAAAAAACUUGUUAGAAGUACGUAAUAGUAAACAUGCUUUCAAAUUUAUAUAAAAAAAUGUAUAUUUAUGUUGAAUUUGUGUGCAAUUUGCAUGUAACAAAAUUAUUAAUUACCUUUUAUUGAAGUUA